Molecule: ribosomal RNA, 102 nt
Filed under: Phialotubus microsporus
Lineage: Eukaryota; Fungi; Ascomycota
Description: partial 18S ribosomal RNA
Rfam family: Eukaryotic small subunit ribosomal RNA
Source: RNAcentral
CAGGGAGGUCGGCAACGACCACCCAGGGCCGGAAAGUUAUCCAAACUCGGUCAUUUAGAGGAAGUAAAAGUCGUAACAAGGUCUCCGUUGGUGAACCAGCGG